This 500-nucleotide ribosomal RNA is filed under the name uncultured bacterium. RNAcentral describes it as "bacterial SSU rRNA". It matches the Rfam family "Bacterial small subunit ribosomal RNA", at positions 17 to 518 of the family's 1533-position model. The record is from RNAcentral.
UUCUGGCUCAGGACGAACGCUGGCGGCGUGCCUAACACAUGCAAGUCAACGGGACUAUAUUGAUUAAUCUUCGGAAGCGUUGGUAUAGUUUAGUGGCGGACGGGUGAGUAACACGUGAGCAACCUGCCUUUCAGAGAGGGAUACCGUUUGGAAACGAACGCUAAUACCUCAUAACGUAUCGUGACCGCAUGAUCGUGAUACCAAAGGAGCGAUCCGCUGAAAGAUGGGCUCGCGGCUGAUUAGAUAGUUGGUGGGGUAACGGCCUACCAAGUCGACGAUCAGUAGCCGGACUGAGAGGUUGAACGGCCACAUUGGGACUGAGACACGGCCCAGACUCCUACGGGAGGCAGCAGUGGGGAGUAUUGCGCAAUGGGGGCAACCCUGACGCAAGCAACGCCGCGUGUGGGAAGAAGGUCUUCGGAUUGUAAACCAUUGUCUUCGGUGACGAUAAUGACGGUAGCCGAGGAGGAAGCUCCGGCUAACUACGUGCCAGCAGCUGC